AUUCAUCAUGCAAGUUCUUUUCUGUCUAGCUUAGGAAAGAGGUUAAUUCCCAAUGUUAUUCCAUGAUCUACCCAAAUCAAAUCUUCAUUCUAAACUUUGAUUCAAGGAAGUAGUAUAAAAGAUGUAGAGCCGAGAAAAUGGGAACGCCAUGACGAGUGAUAGAUACUGUGGCCUCAACUCUUCCAACUAUGAUAGAAAAUUUGAUUUGAUUUUUUUGGGGGGGCAACAUCAGAAAUUAAAGAGUGGAAGAGUCGGGUGAAAUAUUCCAAUAUUUCCAAUUUGUAUUCCAGUUUUCACUCAGCUUCAACAAUGCAAAAUGGCAUCAGUGCAUUUGCCAAAUAGUGCCUAUACAGAGAAUGCAAGUACCCAUCUACUGAGUAUGAGAUUUCAUAAAGGACAGAGGGUUACAUUUCAUGACUUUUUGCUUCUCCAGAACCAGACUACCGGAGCUGCCUUGUUUAUCUCUCUGGCCCUUGUUAAGUCCCAACCUACUUCAACACAAAGAAUGGAGGGAGAAACAUCAGCAUGCCCUUUUCCAAAUGUCGAUCAUCUGACCUUGAAUUGUGGUUGUGGCAAGUCCUGGUUGUCAGUUUGCUGCUGGGGGCAAGGACAGACGUUAACAAAGAAAGUCACAUUCAAUUAGAAACCAUCACCCGGGCUGGCAUUUGCGGUUACUCUGCACGGAUCAGCUUGAAGAACAACCACGUGGCUGCUUUUGGGUUUGAACUUGAAAGCAAGGGCAUUUUUGGCAGCAAGGGGAAUCAUGUCCUCCCUCUAAUGUGCUGAUGAGAAGAACAGUUUUCCUGGAAAUUUGGAAACAGAGGCUCCAUGGUACUGAGCAUGUUCAGGACAGUCAGAAUCAAAGCAUUAUUUUAAAGGUGUCUUUUACUAAAGAUCGGGCUGCAAGGUGUAAGUGUCACCUCCUCCGUGUCUCCCAUGCUUGGGUCUUCUUAGAAUCUCUCAGGUGAUGGACCCAUGGGCUCCCAUGCAGGGCAAUUAGGCAGUGCAGGCCCCGUGGGGCACUCGUGGAAGGCCCAGGACAUUCACUAUUGCCACAGCUAUGGCCCUCACGAGCCUUCUGGAGCAGCCACUUAACCAGCUCUCAGUGAUUAAUAGCUAUACCCCUACUUGAGGCACUGGGAAUACGUGAGCAAGAACCCUAAAGGGAGAGGAAACAUAUUUGGUAACAUUUCAUUACUAAACAGAUCAAAUGUGGUUUCCAGCCUUCACAGAUUGGUCAUUUGGGUUGGGGUUCUUCUAAGUUCAUCCAGCACUGUUCAAGAAAAGCCAGUAUUCCAGGUGUUCUGCCCCAGCAGUGUUGGAAGUGCCCUCCAUAGACCAACAUAGUCUCAGACCCAAUACCAGGAGAUGGCCAUGGCCACAUCAUCAACACCGGUCCCAUGGCCUUUGUGUCUGCCACUCUCUCUGCCUGCUGGAAGUUCACUUCUUCCCCAGAAUUUGAGUAUGUCAUGUUCUCUCACCCUUUGGGUUUUACCCCGAAGUCACCUUCACUCAGUGAGGCCUUCCCUGGCACCUCUCUCAAAUAAUCCCCUUCUCCCAAUUUCACUCUUCACCCUUUCUUGCUUUAUUCUUCUUCCAUGACCCUCUCCACUGCUUACGGCCUUCACAUUAUGCUCCUUGUGUAUUCCUGCCUCUCUCACUAGCCUCUCAGCUCCUUGAGGGCAGGGACCUCAGUCUGUGCCUGCAAGAAUUGCCUGUACACAGUAGGUGCUCAGUUGGAAUUUGCUGAGUGAAUGCCUAUGCCCAUGUGAAUAAAUGAAUGAAAGCCUUCAGUAGUUCCAAAUGACCUUUCAACUUGGCCUCUCUUCUAGUUAAUGGGUACAGUUGAGACUUCUUAGAACAAGCACACAACACUUUCAUUCUGACCCCUGUUCAUUUUUAUCAAAUAAGAGAAGCAAAACAUAAUGGGCCAUUGGGAAAACUACACCAACAUGACUUGAAGGGCACUGCUGAAACUGGACUUUGAUGGCCUGGCAGGAGCAUUGUCAUGAAGGAUUUCUCAGCUAGUUUAUGCAAGAACAAACUUAGUCCCUAUUAUAGGUCGCAGUGUUUUAAUGACAAAAGUUGUUCAAGGUUAUUUAUUUUUAAACAUAUAUAUAUGUAUGUAUUUGGCCACCCCACAGCAUAUGGAGAUCCCGAGCUAGGGAUAAGAUCCCAGCCUAAGAGGCAGCUUCGGCAAUGCUGGAUCCUUAACCCACUGUGCCGGACAAGGGUUUGAACUUGAGUCCCAGGACUACCAAGAGGCAGCCGAUCCCAUUGCACCACAAUGGGAACUCUAAAAUCUAUUCAUAUUUAAAGGUAUAUAUAAAAGUCCAGCGAGGUCUGUGUCUGAUUUAGCCUUGUUUAGUGUUGGCUUAUUGGCUGGUAACUCUUGGGAGAACUUCAUAUCCUUGGGGGAGAGGGGAGAUAAAAUUUGUCCCAUUAUAUGUGCCACAGUAUGUUGCACACAACUUUGCUAUAGUAAAUGUCCAAAAGAGAAUGAUGUUGAAGUGACUUGACCACGGAAUUUGCUUCUUUAUCCUUUCUGGGCUGUGAAUCCCAGGAUCCACAACCAGGACUGGUACACCCAAUGCUGAGUGGUCCCUGUCCUGCAUUGAGAGGCAGGAGAAGAGCUUGAGCCUGGGGUGAGAUGUGUGUCUGAAAAGAGCUGGAGGCAAAUGCAGCUCCAGCCUCCUGUGUCUCCAGGCAAGCCUCCCUUCCCCAUCCUGGAGCCCCGCUGGUCCAUAACCAUCCCCACCCCACUGGUUCCUCUUGCCAUUUGGUUUGGGCUAUGUCCUCACCCUGGCACUGACGCAUGCAUCCAAGAGGAAUCCAAGCCCCUUGCCUUGAAAGUGUGUCUAUGUGUGGCUGAUGACGUGAGUCUGUGGCCCCAUCACCGUAGCAGAUUACAGGGUGGGUGAAGGGCUCCAGUCUGCUUCCUCCUUAUCUGAGUGAGUCCCUGGGGCACCUGUGCCUCUUUCAAAGGCAGACCCUGAUUCCAGUUCAUUCUUGGUCCCACCCAACCAACAGCAGAAACAAGUCCUUAGUCCUCAGCUCUGCCAGCCUUGAACUCUUGGAGGUGUGAACCAGUUAGAGGGCAACACUGGGACCAGAGGGUCAAUGGGUGACACUUCCAAGCAGUCAGUCACAUUCAGUUUCUUGCAAAGGCCCAAAAAAAAGCAAGAACCACUUUCAUGGGCUGAAAGAAAAUGGAGAUGAUCCAGUUACACAGUCUCUAGAACCUGUCUUCAGUCUGGGCCUCAGGAGCCCAAGCCUCCCACCAGAGAUUUCUGUAGUCAAAACAAUUCCAUUUACAGCCAGAGAGCAUCUGUUUGGGUGGCCUUCAUACUCAGAAGUUUCUAGAACCUCUUGGGGGGGGGUGUCUUUUGUGGAUAUACAAUGGGUUGAGUUUGUCAAAGCCCUCCUUUCAGAGGGAGAGAAAACCCUGCCCAGGGCCUCCAACUCAAAGACACAGACUUCAGAUAGCAGAUGGACCUUGAAGGGGAAGGGGAAUCCACACUCUUCGGAAAUAGGAGGGGGCAGAGUCACAGAACAGAGCCUGUACCUCGGCAUCCUUCAAAGGCAAGUCUUUAAAACCUAUGUGAGGAGUUCUUGUGGCUCAGUGGGUUAAGAACCCAACAUAAUUUUUGUGAGGAUUUGGGUUUAACCCCUGGCCUCACUAAAUGGGUUAAGGAUCCGGCAUUGCCGUGAGCUGUGGUAUAGGUCACAGAUGUGGCUCAGAUCCCAUGUUGCUGUGGCUGUGGUGGAGGCCAGCAGCUGCAGCUCCAAUUUUACCCCCAGCCUGGGAACUUCUAUGUGCUGCAGGUGCAGCUGCAAACAACAACAAACAAACAAACAAACAAACAAAAAAACCAUAUGUGAUCACUUGGAACAAGACCCAUUAUGGCAUCACUGCUGUCGAAGGGGCGUGGACACAGC
RNAcentral lists this long non-coding RNA (3939 nucleotides) under Sus scrofa (pig). RNAcentral's name for it is "lncRNA (ENSSSCG00040019830.1)". The record is from RNAcentral. Lineage: Eukaryota; Metazoa; Chordata; Mammalia; Artiodactyla; Suidae.